This 449-nucleotide ribosomal RNA is filed under the name uncultured bacterium. Its description in RNAcentral is "partial 16S ribosomal RNA". It matches the Rfam family "Bacterial small subunit ribosomal RNA", at positions 29 to 523 of the family's 1533-position model. The record is from RNAcentral.
AACGAACGCUGGCGGCAUGCCUAACACACGCAAGUCGAACGAGAUCUUCGGGUCUAGUGGCGCACGGGUGCGUAACGCGUGGGAAUCUGCCCUUUGGUUCGGAAUAACAGGUGGAAACGACUGCUAAUACCGGAUGAUGACGAAAGUCCAAAGACUUAUCGCCAGAGGAUGGGCACGCGUAGGAUUAGCUAGUUGGUGUGGUAAAGGCGCACCAAGGCGACGAUCCUUAGCUGGUCUGAGAGGAUGAUCAGCCACACUGGGACUGAGACACGGCCCAGACUCCUACGGGAGGCAGCAGUGGGGAAUAUUGGACAAUGGGCGAAAGCCUGAUCCAGCAAUGCCGGGUGAGUGAUGAAGGCCUUAGGGUUGUAAAGCUCUUUUGCCGGGGAUGAUAAUGACAGUACCGGGAGAAUAAGCUCCGGCUAACUCCGUGCCAGCAGCCGCAGUAA